AAAUUCUAUCUCUCUCUUCGUCGAUUCUUCUUCGUUUGUCUUCCUUCUUUCGUUCUUCUUCCUUCUUCUCUAUUUGCAUGUCACGAAACCGAUCGAUCACUGCUACCUCCUCCUCCAAAUCCGUCAAUAAAAUCACCGUUGAGGUUCGGAUUUUUUGAUUUUUUUGUAUUGAUUUGAAGCUCGUCUAGUGAAUUGGGUUGAUACAAAUCGAUUUGAGAAUAGAUUUGACUCUGUGUAUCUCCUCUGUCUGUCUAUCUUUACACGACUUGGUUCCAUCGAUUUGGUUCCAAAACUCGUUGUAUUGGAGAGACCCGAGAGAGAGGAAGAACAUGGAACCAAAUCGAUGUAAUAAGAGAUAAAGCUAUGGUGGGUUUGAGAGAGAACACUCCCGUGGAAACGUUAACGCAAAGGUCUGAUAAUGUUCAUCACCCACUCUCUGCCAGAGACGGAUCAAACUUGGGCAAAGCAUCUUUCUUUCAUUUAAUUUGGCAAGAGAAAACCCUAACGCCGUUUCUCUCAAAGGCGAUUUCGAAGACGAUUUCUGUCGAUUCUCUCUAAUCCAUCAUUCUCACCGCCGAUUAUCUCUCUGCCGUUAUCACCAUCGUUCUCACCACCGUUCUCACAGCCGCUUCCUCUAUUUAAGAUCUGAGAGGAAACCCUAGCGCGCAUUCUCUCAGAGGUGUCUCGUUGGACUCCGCCGCCGGUAAGUUAUAUCUCUUACUGUCGAGUGAUUGAUUGAGGAAAAGAUGAACAUAAAACGUUGUCUCUAUCAAUUUAUACACUCGUUCUCACCAAACUUCUUUUUUUCACGUCUAUUUUUGCAGAUAUAUAACCGUUUUGUCGAAGGCGACUAUAUCUUCUCCGAAUUUUCAGGUCGGCUUAAAAAUGUUCUACUGGAAGUCUUGGAAGACUUAUAAUUAAGUCGUCUGGAAAGUCUUCCAGCUGGAAAACUUGCCA
Molecule: long non-coding RNA, 957 nt
Organism: Brassica oleracea var. oleracea
Lineage: Eukaryota; Viridiplantae; Streptophyta; Magnoliopsida; Brassicales; Brassicaceae
Exons: 3
Source: RefSeq, a predicted model, not a curated record